Molecule: long non-coding RNA, 1867 nt
Organism: Tympanuchus pallidicinctus (lesser prairie-chicken)
Lineage: Eukaryota; Metazoa; Chordata; Aves; Galliformes; Phasianidae
Exons: 5
Source: RefSeq, a predicted model, not a curated record
CUCGGAGUCGCGCGAGGGGCGGCGCCUCGCAGCUGCCGGGAGCGGCGCCGCGAGCCGGGCAGGAGCGCGUGGCAGAGUCCCGUACGGCCCGGGACACUCAGUUCUCAGCAUACGCUCAGUCCUCCAACUUAAAGCAGCAUUUUGCUUCGGAUAGUGCCGAGCACCCUGCAGCCUUGAUAUGAAACGCUGUCGAGAUUCAGUAAUUGUAACUUGAAUAUCUAAUGUGACUGCGAGUGUUCCCUGAAACGAAAAAUGCCUCAGUUUUUUGGGCCUCGUGGCACUAAUCCACCUGGAAAUUUCAUUUGGGAUGUAAUUUGCGGCAUUGAAAUAAACGUAAAAAUUCAGUCAACUUUAAAAAGAUAAGAAUUCAGACUCUGAUUCUGAAAUUCGAAAUGUCUAAAUGGUAACGGGAGGUAUAAAUGAUGAUGAUGGUCUGAAACUGCAUAGCCAGUAUGACUCGGACACUCCCAAUUUUUUUUUAACAUGUUCGAGUCACAAAUCCUACAAGGACCUAAAAGAAAGAUGGCAGUCUACGGAAGCUGAAGAUGCUCCAUACAUUUUAUCAAAAGUGUGCAACCUAUAAGAUCUAAUGUCAAUAGUAAGAUGUUCUUUAGCUGCAUUAGCUAAACAAGAAAUGAGCUCGACCGUGAUUCUGUGCGCUGAAAUCAGUGGCAGCGAUAAAACAUUAUGUCUAAUGUGGAGAAAGAUACCAGCCUAUCAGCGACAAGAUCUGCAGUCGAUCAGACAAUAAAAAGGAGUUCAGAGUCAAGGUGACCAGAAGCAGCAGUGUUGGAGUAAGCGUCUGGAAAAUCUGUAAUUGAUACACUGAGGUGUAGAGAAAAAACUAAGUCACGGCCUGAAGCAGUAAUCGAGCACCUGGUGCUCAGCAGGGCAGAUUCAGGGGUGCUCAGGUGCAAUCAAUGCAGCUGAGAGGCCUGCAGGGGUGGAGCCAGGAUCCACCCCUUCCCAGACCUCAUUUAAGGGUUGGCAGGGGAGGUGAGGGCAUCACUUUCCAGAGAUUCCUGCCUGCCUGAGCUCUUCUAAAGCUGAGCAGCUCCCUUCCUUUCUGUGUCUGCUGCAUUUGAGUUCAUUCUUGUCUGCUUUAACCAAAGACUUUCCCACCCUGCUAUUAUCACCCCAUGCCAGCCUUACAAAAGGGCAGUUUCAGUGGAGGGCAGUUACUGCUCCUAUUCUCAAAGCAGGAUGAAAUAGAGCAUAAAGGGAGAGGGAUGAAAGGUCAAAGUAACAGUGGUGCGUUAAAGCUCGGGCAGUUACUUUGACAGCAUCACAGCACUCAGUGAAAGGCAAUCACUGCUUUUUCAGGUUUGUAUUUAUGUGGAUGCCAUUGUCAAGCACAAGUGGGAUCUGCAGAGGCUCAAGCACCUGCGGGAGCUGUCAACACAGGGAACAGAGGGUUUCCCACUGCGCCUUACUCUGCCUGGGAUUUCGGUGGUGGCAAAGGUCAUCCUGGAAAUGCAGACACCGAAAAUCAUGGGAACACGUAUUAGAACACCCAAGUGGCCGAUCGCAAGAGGGGAACUUUUUCUCCCCUUCCCUGUUCCCCGUGAUUAAUAAGCUAACAUAUGCGGCAAGGGAAUAAGGCAGGAGCACAUGAAGAGCAGGUACAUCCCUUUCUUUGUGGUUGCAGGUACUGCAAAACAGCCCUAGUGUAUACAGGACAUACUUGGAUGGACACUCACUACAGGAACAUUUCACCUCCAGCUGCUUACCCAAGCCCUUUCAGAAGUUUCACAGGAGCCCAGCUACCAACCGAGGAUGUUGAAUAUCCUCCCAGAACACCAGCUGCAUCAGGACCUGAAGAAAAAAAGAGCUCUGCAGUGUUGGAACUCACCAAGGCAGACAACAG